RNAcentral lists this ribosomal RNA (465 nucleotides) under uncultured bacterium. RNAcentral's name for it is "partial 16S ribosomal RNA". It matches the Rfam family "Bacterial small subunit ribosomal RNA", at positions 28 to 507 of the family's 1533-position model. The record is from RNAcentral.
GACGAACGCUGGCGGCGUGCUUAACACAUGCAAGUCGAACGGAAAGGCCCCCUUGUGGGGUACUCGAGUGGCGAACGGGUGAGUAACACGUGAGUAACCUACCCUUGACUUUGGGAUAACUUCAGGAAACUGGGGCUAAUACCGGAUAGGAGCUCCUGCUGCAUGGUGGGGGUUGGAAAGUUUCGGCGGUUGGGGAUGGGCUCGCGGCUUAUCAGCUUGUUGGUGGGGUAGUGGCCCACCAAGGCUUUGACGGGUAGCCGGCCUGAGAGGGUGACCGGCCACAUUGGGACUGAGAUACGGCCCAGACUCCUACGGGAGGCAGCAGUGGGGAAUAUUGCACAAUGGGCGGAAGCCUGAUGCAGCAACGCCGCGUGCGGGAUGACGGCCUUCGGGUUGUAAACCGCUUUCGCCUGUGACGAAGCGUGAGUGACGGUAAUGGGUAAAGAAGCACCGGCUAACUACGUG